Molecule: ribosomal RNA, 396 nt
Filed under: uncultured bacterium
Lineage: Bacteria
Description: partial 16S ribosomal RNA
Rfam family: Bacterial small subunit ribosomal RNA
Source: RNAcentral
AUACGUAGGGGGCGAGCGUUGUCCGGAAUGAUUGGGCGUAAAGGGCGCGUAGGCGGCGCGGUAAGUCUGGAGUGAAAGUCCUGCUUUCAAGGUGGGAAUUGCUUUGGAUACUGCCGCGCUUGAGUGCAGGAGAGGUUAUCGGAAUUCCCGGUGUAGCGGUGAAAUGCGUAGAGAUCGGGAGGAACACCAGUGGCGAAGGCGGAUUGCUGGACGGCAACUGACGGUGAGGCGCGAAAGUGUGGGGAGCAAACAGGAUUAGAUACCCUGGUAGUCCACACUGUAAACGAUGGAUACUAGGUGUGCGGGGACUGACCCCCUGCGUGCCGGCGUUAACACAAUAAGUAUCCCACCUGGGGAGUACGAUCGCAAGGUUGAAACUCAAAUGAAUUGACGGGG